Molecule: ribosomal RNA, 253 nt
Filed under: uncultured bacterium
Lineage: Bacteria
Description: partial 16S ribosomal RNA
Rfam family: Bacterial small subunit ribosomal RNA
Source: RNAcentral
UACGUAGGGUGCGAGCGUUAAUCGGAAUUACUGGGCGUAAAGCGUGCGCAGGCGGUUUGUUAAGACAGGUGUGAAAUCCCCGGGCUUAACCUGGGAAUGGCGCUUGUUACUGGCAGGCUAGAGUGUGUCAGAGGGAGGUAGAAUUCCACGUGUAGCAGUGAAAUGCGCAGAUAUCUGGAGGAACACCGGUGGCGAAGGCGGCAUCCUGGACCGGUAUUGACGCUGAGGCGCGAAAGCUAGGGGAGCAAACGGG